RNAcentral lists this long non-coding RNA (6820 nucleotides) under Homo sapiens (human). RNAcentral's name for it is "long non-coding RNA NONHSAT118304.2". Lineage: Eukaryota; Metazoa; Chordata; Mammalia; Primates; Hominidae. The record is from RNAcentral.
CGGGGCGGCAAAACGUCCGCCCGGGCCCGAGGCGGGCGGAGGCAGCUGUGGUUACGUGCGGGGGGCCGGUGACGCAGUCGCGGGGCGCUGGGACGCGGCUUGCGGAGCCGGCCGGCGAGCGCAGGCCCCAGGCUCGGGCGCGGCGGCGGGACAGCACCUACCUUCCCGGCUUCGGGUCCGGGAGUGCGGGGCGCGGAGCCGCCGGAGCGCUGCCUCCCUCCUUCCUCCUCCCCUCGCCCCCGCCCCGCGGCGCGACACACAAUACUCGCCGGAAGCGGAAGCCGCGCCGAGGCUCGUGUCAGUGGAAGCUGGGGUGUCGGCGGGCGGCCGCGGCCGGGUCUAGCGGUGCCUGCGGAAGAAGGAGGAGGAGGGCUGGCGAUGAGAAGCAGCAGGGGGAAUCAAGGGCAAGAAGGGACCCAGAGGGGCAGGUGGCUGAGAUGCUGGCGUCCAGGUGACCCGAGGAAUCCUCUGGAGAUACAGGCCCGCGCAUGCGCGUGCUCGAGCGCUGAAGCCCAUUGCCCGCAGGGCGCUGGACUGGCGCCCCGGCCGGCGAGGCUGUCUAGUCCAGGCUCCAGGCCCCGGCUCUGGCCAGGCGCCGCCGCCUCCCGGUGCAGCUGAAAGUCGACGAAGAGGGCGGGGCGGGGGCGGCUUGUGGACUUCCACACUUUUCCUCUCUUCGGGCCAGUCUGGGGAGAGGGUGGCUAGCUGUGGCGGCGGCCAAUUACGUGGCGGACCUGCGGGGCUAAGCUGGCACGUCACUUCCGACUAGUGGAGUUUUUAGCCUUUUAACAUUCAAGGAUUAGGUAAAAGUCUUGCAGUGAAAAACCCGAGGACCCUUACCGCAAGUGUCUUUUGCUCCCAGCUACUGAUACUGGAUUCCACUCGUGAUUCUCCCUUUCUUAGCGCAUUCAUGAUAUAGACAUCAGUCUCUGAGCUGGAGGAGGACAAAGGCAGCGGUCCUGUGAAUUCUAUGCUCUAGCUUGGGUUAAGGGAUUUGGAAUUGCACUUGUUUCAGAGAGCUCCCUCUUUGCCCACUAGCAGGGCAUUAGCUGGUGCUGAAGACAGUGGCUGCUUGGCGAGCCUGGAUCUCCAAGUGACCCCCUCAGCAACUCCUGAUGAACAGGACUGAAGCCAAUAUUAAAGCAAGUCAACCAAAGGUUCUCUGGUGUAGACAAGACAGCAAAAGGACAGACUACCUUGUGGAACCUAGCAUUGUUCUCCUUCUGCAGCACUAAGUAACAUUUGUUCUCCGUUAAGAUCUUUGCAAACCACACACAAGAAUUGCUGGUCAUCCUGCCAAUAGAUGCUGCUCACAGAACCAAAUUUCCUGUGCUGAAUUGUCACUCAUGGGCUUGAGAGUAGGAGACUGGAGACCAAGGUGGCUAGAAUCCAGUUGGGCCUGAUGUCUCCCUGUUGAAAGGGCUCCUUGUGGAAUGAAUAGCACAUGGCUCCUGUGGUGGAUCUGAUAGUGGCAUAGCACCAAGUGAUGCAGGCCUGCCAGGGGCCACAGACACAGAAGAUGCUCCCGGGGUCCCCCAUGUACUCCAGACACACUGCAGGCCACCUCUCCCAGCAGGUUGCCAGUCAUGGGCCCCAUCAUCAUGACUUCUGUCCAAGGUACUGUGUGCAGAAAUGUGAUUGAGAUUCAAGUCAGGGCCUCUCUGCCCUUUUCCCUCCAGAAACAAAACCAAGAUAAUUUAUCCUGAACACGGUGAAAAAAGGAAGGGAGGGAGGAGAAAAAGUCCGGGUCUCACCUGGGAUUCUCUGUCUCCUGCAACAUGAAGGAUUUAGCCUGGGAGGAGGUGGUGAGAACUCUGGGAGAGAAAAAAGAAGGAAAGAAUAGUUUUACCCAUGCUGAAGUUAAUUUAAACCUUCACCUAGAGAAGCAAAAAAAAAAAACCCACACUUUCCCAUUUUGUGCCUCCCUUCCUAGAGUUUUAGCCAAAGGUUUAGCUAAGUAAUUGGUUUUACCAGCGCACUCACUCCUCCUAUCCCAAGUCUGUUUGACUCCCUCCCCAUCAUCCUCCUCACCUCUUUUCAGGCAGGGUGGGGAUAGCAGCAGGAGGAGAUUUUGGGAGCCUGGCAACUCCUGCAAGGACCGCAGGACAGCCCCUCUGUGGGGAUGCGUGGUGCCCCAUCUGCCGCCCUUCUGAAGAAUGCACUGCCUUCACUUUUUACUGUGUUAGAGUCCAUCCAGACUGUUCUAUCCAAAAAAGUUUCUUUUUCCCCCACAGGCAAUCAGGAAAUGAUUCCUUUCCCGACUGCUUCUGUCUAGUGCCUGGGAAUCUUGAGUCAAUCCCUCAGUAAGUCAGUGACUAGGGAAAUCCCUCUCUGAGCCUCCCAGUUCAUGUUGCUUAGGGAACCUGAUAUUUUCGUGAAACCUGCCUACACAUGGGCAGCCCAACAGCAGAACAAAUGGUGGUGACCAAAGUGAACAAAGAAGUAUAGUUGUGCCAGCUUCGUAGUUGCCCAUGUGGACAAGUCAGCAGGAUCAGGACACGAGGAAGAGUAAAUGUGAGACAGUCAAUGUGACUUCUGCGAUAAACAGAUUUUUAAACCCCGAAAUUUUGCAAAAUUUUGGUGAAACCUGAACUUUCUUCGUUGCAUAUACUGGCACUAUCUGUACCAUCAUACAACUGUCUCACAUUAAAGCUAUUUUUCUUGGGCACUGAUGAGUAAGGUUGGUAUAAGUUCCUCAGAUCAACAAAAACCCAUUUUCCUGUAAGUCUUACAUUUAGUAUUUAAGGAACUAAAACUUAAAUACAUUUUGUGAAAUGGUUGACACUUCACUGAUAAUGAUUUAUUGCUUGGAUUAAUAAAUUUUCCAAAAGUUGUCUUAUGUAGAAUAUGGUUUGCAACCAGCAGAACCAUUAAUCUAUACUGCAAUGAUAUGCACUAUGUAUAAUUGUUUAAAAGCCUCUACUUAAUGAUGUAAAAUGCUCUAUUUAAUUACACAUUUGGGUAAACUGUAUACUAACAUCUGAUGGCAUUUUUCCACUGUUUGUUGCUUUUUUCAAAUACUUUAUUGUACAAAGCUGUUCUUAAUAUUUUUCAAGUUUUUUUCUUUGAAUUUUGCUAAUGUUUUCCUUGAAUUAUGAGCACUGACAGAAUGUGCUUAGCACUUUUGGCUAUUCACACAGCUUUUGAGCAUGAUUUGCAUCCAAUAUUUACAUUGCUAGCAAUAAUAAGCCAUCUGUGAGUUUUGUCAAAAGUUAUUGGGGAUUUUUUAAAUUUUAGAAAUGCAAAUUAUUGUUUCUUUGAACUAACUCUUAUGCAGUUGCAAAGGCAUUUCCAGUUGUUAUAGUUUGUGUACAAUAUCAGGUGUUCCAGAUUAUGAUUCAUUAUUAAUAUCAUUGCUUCCUUGUUCCCUCUGAGGUCCAGAAGAUUCAUGUUUACAAUAUUUAGAAACAAUGUUAAAAAGGUAUCCAAAGUUUGUCACUUUAUUAUUAGUUUGUUCUUAAUAUUCUGUUUAAGUUUUUGAAUUCAUAGAUAUCAAAACGCUGCACAAUUAUGAUUUCCACAGGAAUAACAACACACUAACAAUAAGAACCAAAAACAGCAAAUAGGCUGCCUACAAGUUUUGACAAUAUUAGGAUAAUGAUAAUGACAGUUUUUCUAAAUCUCACAGUAAAGAAUGCAGCAACCCAGCAACACUGCUACCUGUGGCCUCAGGCUGCAGUGUCAGCUCUUCCCUGGGUCUCCAGCCUGCCAGUCUAACCUGAAAAUUAUGUACUUGCCAGCCCCCACAGUCACGUGAGUGAACUGGCCCAGGCUGGUCACCAGGGUCAGUUUCUCUGUGUGUCAUUAAUUCAUUCAGUCUUCAGCAGUCUCUUUGGAGCUGAGAUGUACCUACCAUCUGCCUUUUGGGUGCUUAGGGUGGAGAACCAGAAAAGUAUAACCUAGUGUGUAUCCUCAAAGAGCUAACAAUAUGGGGUGGUACCUAUAGGUCUGGAAACACUUUACUGACUCUGUGAGGCAUACCAGGAGACGUCAGAGAACAGUCCCUCCUCAAAUGCCAAAUGAGAUGCAGAAGAAAUAGUUUGCUCAAGUUCAUGGGCCAGAUAUCCCAGUGGUCAGGGAGUUUCAUGAAUGAGAUGGAACUUUGCAUGGAACCCGAGGGAUGUGUAUGAUUUGAGUAGAUGAAGAAAAUGAGACUUUCCAAGCAGCUAGAAGUUAGGGAGCAGCAAGAUGUGUGGUGGGAUUGAGCACAGUUGGUUCAGAGGAUAGACUGCAGUUUUAAUAAUUUGUAGUAAAUAUCUCCCAACUGUUUGGCACUAUUGGAGCAAGUUCUUGAAUGCCAAAUGAAGGCAUAAAUCAGUAAGAGGCAUAAUAAAAGGCUGAGCAGUGCUUGGCUUUUUACGAACUGAUCCUGAUAGGAGCAGCUGUUCAACAAAGUUGCCAGGUCACCGUUACAUAGUCCCUGCCUUCUAGGGGCUCACUGCCUACUGGGAGAGACAGUCUGAAAGUUGGUGGAGCAUGUAACUGUUGGAUGAGGACUUUGAGCCUGUGGACUGUGGGACCCCCGAGGAGGGUGUGGCUACUCUAGGCAGAACAAUCCCACAGUUUAUUUAUAUUUAACCUUGAAAUUCAUUAGAGGAUUUUUCAGCAGAGGUUUGGUACUUGUUAAUGUUAAGGUUUGCAUUCUCUAGAACCUCAAGGAAAGCUGUACCGUGCAUAAUGUACCCUCUUAUGUUAAUGUUGUGUACUGUGAUCCUGUUUCAGGGACUUGCACUUAGGAAUCUGUUACAGUGAGCACAGAAGCAGACCUGUGGGCUCAUAGUCUUCACCCCCCACCCAUAUAUACAAGAUGAACAGAGUGGAGGUUAAACAACUUGACUAAACAACACAGUUCAUGGUAAAGCCCAAGACUGUACCUGCCCAUCCACUGCCUUUUCCAUGUAUCCUGGAACUGAGCAUAGACCUCUUCCCAGGCAGAGCUGACAGCAAGUAAAGGAGAUCAUAAUCAGGGGACCAAACAACUUUGUCUAAAGUGUGAAUGUCACCUAAGGAGAAGCUGUGAGAUCAGAAGGGUGGGGCAGAGGAGCAGACACCAUGAGGGAGAGUCCUUGGGGGUACAUCUGCCAGACUGACACUGUCUGGCCUGGGCAGUGGAGGGGCUAGCAGGAACCACAGGUACUGGUGGUGUGGCUACUACCGUUACAACUGCCUGUGCUUGGACAUGGACCCUCUGCAAUAUGCGGCAGUUUCAUUCAUUGCCCCCUACAUUCUACACCAAGUAGAAAUGGAAGGCAAUUGGAUACUUCACAGACAAGAUCUAAGUGGAGAAGGAAUGCGUCCUGUGGCUGCAGAGAUCCUUGGAGCUUGGAGGGGAGAGCUUGAGCCCCACUGAUGAUGACCUCCCACAGCUCGCCAACUCAGCCCUCCCUAAGUCCCCAUCGGGGGCCAAUUCUCACUCUGGGGUUGGGGGGACUCCACCAUAGCUCAUCCAUCAUAGGGAUGUUGGUAUCUACUGUGGGUUGGGUAGGGCCGAUGUGCUGAGGAUGGCUCCCCCACAAGCAAGAGAUGUGGAUUUGGGGAGCUUCCCAUCUUGUGUUGAAGGAACAUAACUCAGAAUAAUAAGAGCCAACUAUAACAAACCCACAGCCAACAUCAUACUGAAUGGGCAAAAGCUGCAGGCAUUCCCCUUGAAAAGUGGCACAGGAUAAGGAAGCCCUUUCUCACCACUCCUAUUCAAUAUAGUGUUGAAAGUCCUGAUCACAGCAGUCAGGCAACAGAAAUAAUAAAGGGCAUCCAAAUAGGAAGAGAGGAAGUCAAACUAUCCUUGUUUGCAGACAGUAUGAUUCUAUAUCUAGAAAACCCCAUAGCCUCAGCCCAAAAGGUCCUUCAUCUGAUAAUUUCAGCAAAGUUUCAGGAGACAAAAUCAGUGUACAAAAAUCACUAACAUUCCUAUACACAGUCGCCAAGCCAAGAGCCAAAUCAGGAGCACAAUCCCAUUCAUAAUUGCCACAAAAAAGAAUAAAAUACCCAGGAAUGCAGCUAACCAAGGAAGUAAAGGAUCUCUACAAUGAGAAUCACAAACGCUGCUCAAAGAAAUCAGAGAUGACACAAACAAAUGGAAAAACUUUCCAUGCUCAUGGCUAGGAAGAAUCAAUAUCAUUAAAGUGGCCAUACUACCCAAAGCAAUUUAUAGAUUCAAUGCUAUUCCUAUCAAACUAUCAAUUACAUUUUUCACAGAACUAGAAAAAACUUAAAAUUCAUAUGGAACCAAAAAGCCUGAGUAGUCAAGGCAAUCCUAAACAAAAAGAACAAAGGUGGAGGCAUCACAUUACCUAACUUCAAACUACAGGGCUACCAUGACCAAAACAGCAUGGUACUGGUACAAAAGCAGACACACAGACCAGUGGGACAGAAUAGAGAGCCCAAAAAUAAGGCCACAAACCUACAGCCAUCUGAUCUUCAACAAAGUUGACAAAAACAAGCAAUGGGGAAAGGUCUCCCUAUUCAAUAAAUGGUGCUGGGAUAACUGGCUGGCCAUAUGCAGAAGAUCGUAACUGGACCCCUUUUACUAUGUACAAAAAUUAAGAUGGUUUAAAGAGUUAAAACCCAAAAUUAUAAAAAUCCUGAAGAUAACUUAGGCAAUACCAUUCUGGACAUAGGAACUGGCAAAUAUUUCAUGAUGAAGACACCAAAAGCAAUUGUAACAAAAGCAAAAAUGGACAAAUUGGAUUUAAGAGCUUUUUCAUAGCAAAAUAAACAACAGGGCAGACAAUCUACCAAAUGACAGAAAAUUUUUGCAAACUAUGCAUCUGACAAGGGGCUAAUAUCUAGCAUCUAUAAGGAAUUUAAACACAGUUACAGG